Molecule: long non-coding RNA, 259 nt
Organism: Chroicocephalus ridibundus (black-headed gull)
Lineage: Eukaryota; Metazoa; Chordata; Aves; Charadriiformes; Laridae
Exons: 3
Source: RefSeq, a predicted model, not a curated record
CAGGAGCGUUCCCAGGAGUAUGGAUGCUAACAGCCUUCCCCAAACUUUGCGGACUUUAUCAACGCACAUAGCCGUGACUUGAAGCCAAUUGCCAAAACUUACUGGGAAGGACAGGGGAAGUGGAAGCCCUUCCGCUUUUGAAGGUGUGUGUUUUAUUUCUUGCUGCUCAGAUGCCAUGGUUACAAGCACUACAGAAAACAAACCAGUGGCACCAGGUUCCAAGGUGUUAAAGCAAGCAGAUAGGUAUUACUACUUGUCC